UUUGUAGCUCUGUGUCUCUGCUUUUAUCCAAUGUAAAAAACAAAUUUCAAAUUUUGCUACCUAAGACCAAAUCAAGGUGGUUGGUCACAUUUCUUUCAGGGUUUGGUACAAACAGUGGCAAGUCAAAUUCAAGGACUUAAGUACUUUUUCAAACACUUACAUUUAUUUUCAAGGACCAUCAAUUUGUAAUAGUUCCUAUUAUGCAAGUGUUUCUAGUCGCCACCAUAUAUCGCCACAACCUCAUGAGGGAAAAAAACAAAUUAACUAUUCAUCACUAUCUUACAAGUUCUACUCAAUAAUAGACGUUUGACUACAUACAUGGAGUGGUAAGUCAGUACUGAUGAUGUUGACUGAUUUCCUUAUAUGUACUGUAAUUCAGUAAUUUUUUUGAAAUUGUAACAUUCAUAUUUGUUCAGUGUACAUGAUAAUAAUCUUAAAAUUAAAUGUAAAAUGUCUUUAUAUUUCACAAAAUGUUAGGUCCCACAGGCUGUCCCAACACAAAAGGAUCCUAAGUUUGGAACCCACUGUACUACUAACGGCUCUCCGUGCUUGCUUUAAUUCUUUUUCUCUCGGUGUAUCUCCUUUGCCUCGUUCAUUGCAUCCUGACUCACCACUGUCACUACUCACUGUAAAGAAAAGGCAUUUUGUUAUGAGAACUUAUAGUAGCCCAUAUUUUGAUUAUAGCUACCUUAAUUUCAGUCAACUGCUCCUGCUGAGGUCAAGCUCUGUUCAACAUUAGCUUCCAACUUCAUCCUUCUAGCCAACUAGUUAUAGCUAGCAACCUGGCCAACAGCCAGAGCACUUGAGCUACCUAGCUAGCUAGACAUCUGACUGAAAUAUCAGCGACUAUUUACCAGUUGUACAUUCAUUUUUCGAGUGUCAGUUUUUUCCUGUUUGGGGGAUGUCUGCUGACACAGCAGGAGUCAAGGGAUGCUAAAAAAAAUCCCACUGUCAGCAGCGUCUCCCACUUGCCAGUGUAGGUCUGGGCUGAUGUAGUUCAUUUCAACUCACAGCCUGUCGUGGGUGGAGUCUCGUUGGACAGAGUGGUGAAUGAAUGCACUGCAAACAAGGCAAAUACAAGGGAGCAGGUGAACAUAAUGAGCAUACAUGAAACGUUCAUGAUUCCACUCAUUCGCAGAUGUAUGUGCGAUUAGAACUCAGAUCAAGAAGCCUUCUGACUGUUGAACAACGCUGGGAACGCAAUAAGUGUGUAAACGAUAUUUAACAAAAAAAAAGCGAGUAAACUAUUUCACAAAAAGUUUCGACCCGAUGAUUCGUCUGACAAAGAACUUUGCGUCCUGCAGGCCCAGGCAUGGAUCAAAGCUGGUGAGACAUUCAAUGACGUCAUCUUCACAGACGAAUCAACCAUGGCCCUUGAGCAAUUUGCUCAAAAUUGUUACAGAAAAAAAGGAAGAUAAAGCAAGCCGAGUCCCAAGCAUCCGCUCAAACUCCAUGUGUGGGGGGCAAUUUCUCACCAGGGACCAGGCCCAUAUUUGACUUUUGAUGGAAUCAUGGCUAGAGAUUUCUUUGAGGAAGAAAUCAUCAAGAAAUAUGCUGGACCCUAUGCCAGAGAGGUGUUUCUGGCACCACAUCGUUUCUUUCAAGGCAAAAUUUCUUUUUUUCUUCUCCAAAAGCAGACAAUGACCGAAAACACACUGCCGCCCGGUUUGCAUUGCCGCCCGGAUUGCAUUGCAAAUGAGGGCAUAAACUGGGUCAAGACGCCAGCAGAGUCUCCUGAUUUAAACCUGAUCAAACUUGUUUGGCAUCAACUGAAAACAUUCAUCCGUAACUGCCAAGCCUACAAGCAAAGAUGAACUGGUCAAGUAGGGGGAUGUUCCCACCUACAAUAGCCAGGCUAUAAAGAGUCUAUUGUCCUGCUAAUACUGUAGGGCUCUCCACCUGCUACAGUACACUUGUGAAAAACAAAUGUUUAUAAACCUGUUUUCAAAAUGCCACCAGCUGUCCAUCACUACUGUAAAUAAAA
Long non-coding RNA from Salvelinus sp. IW2-2015, 1984 nucleotides. RefSeq lists it as uncharacterized. Lineage: Eukaryota; Metazoa; Chordata; Actinopteri; Salmoniformes; Salmonidae. The record is from RefSeq and is a predicted model, not a curated record.